AAUAGAUACCCUGGUAGUCCAUGCCGUAAACGUUGGGCACUAGGUGUGGGGGACAUUCCACGUUUUCCGCGCCGUAGCUAACGCAUUAAGUGCCCCGCCUGGGGAGUACGGCCGCAAGGCUAAAACUCAAAGGAAUUGACGGGGGCCCGCACAAGCGGCGGAGCAUGCGGAUUAAUUCGAUGCAACGCGAAGAACCUUACCAAGGCUUGACAUGGACCGGAUCGCUGCAGAAAUGUGGUUUCUCCUUUUGGGGCCGGUUCACAGGUGGUGCAUGGUUGUCGUCAGCUCGUGUCGUGAGAUGUUGGGUUAAGUCCCGCAACGAGCGCAACCCUCGUUCCAUGUUGCCAGCACGUGAUGGUGGGGACUCAUGGGAGACUGCCGGGGGUCAACGUCGGAGGAAGGUGGGGACGACGUCAAAUCAUCAUGCCCCUUAUGUCUUGGGCUUCACGCAUGCUACAAUGGCCGGUACAAAGGGUUGCGAUACUGUGAGGUGGAGCUAAUCCCAAAAAGCCGGUCUCAGUUCGGAUUGGGGUCUGCAACUCCG
RNAcentral lists this ribosomal RNA (544 nucleotides) under uncultured bacterium. Its description in RNAcentral is "bacterial SSU rRNA". It matches the Rfam family "Bacterial small subunit ribosomal RNA", at positions 777 to 1314 of the family's 1533-position model. The record is from RNAcentral.